RNAcentral lists this ribosomal RNA (238 nucleotides) under uncultured bacterium. RNAcentral's name for it is "partial 16S ribosomal RNA". It matches the Rfam family "Bacterial small subunit ribosomal RNA", at positions 118 to 347 of the family's 1533-position model. The record is from RNAcentral.
UGAGCAAUCUGCCCUUCUCUUUGGAAUAAGCGUGGGAAACCGCGUCUAAUGCCGAAUACGACCUCCUUUCGCAUGAUCGGAGGUGGAAAGCUCCGGCGGAGAAGGAUGAGCUCGCGGCCUAUCAGCUAGUUGGUGUGGGUAAUGGCCCACAAGGCGACGACGGGUAGCCGGCCUGAGGAGGGUGACCGGCCACACGUGGGACUGAGACACCGGCCCAGACCUCCGUACGGGAGNAGCG